RNAcentral lists this ribosomal RNA (468 nucleotides) under uncultured bacterium. RNAcentral describes it as "partial 16S ribosomal RNA". It matches the Rfam family "Bacterial small subunit ribosomal RNA", at positions 28 to 507 of the family's 1533-position model. The record is from RNAcentral.
GACGAACGCUGGCGGCGUGCUUAACACAUGCAAGUCGAACGGAAAGGCCCUGCUUUUGUGGGGUGCUCGAGUGGCGAACGGGUGAGUAACACGUGAGUAACCUGCCCUUGACUUUGGGAUAACUUCAGGAAACUGGGGCUAAUACCGGAUAGGAGCUCCUGCUGCAUGGUGGGGGUUGGAAAGUUUCGGCGGUUGGGGAUGGACUCGCGGCUUAUCAGCUUGUUGGUGGGGUAGUGGCUUACUAAGGCUUUGACGGGUAGCCGGCCUGAGAGGGUGACCGGCCACAUGGGGACUGAGAUACGGCCCAGACUGCUACGGGAGGAAGAAGUGGGGAAUAUGGAACAAUGGGCGGAAGACUGAUGCAGAAACGCAGCGUGCGGGAUGACGGCCUUCGGGUUGUAAACCGCUGUCGCCUGUGACGAAGCGUGAGUGACGGUAAUGGGUAAAGAAGCACCGGCUAACUACGUG